GACCGCGUAGCUCAGUUGGCAGAGCAUUGUACUAGUAUCCCAAAGGUCGCGGGUUCGAUUCCCACCGUGGCCA
Molecule: non-coding RNA, 73 nt
Organism: Paramuricea clavata
Lineage: Eukaryota; Metazoa; Cnidaria; Anthozoa; Malacalcyonacea; Plexauridae
Source: the annotation of a GenBank genome assembly